CUCAAAUGAGACCCUGGAGCCAAAGCCUGGUGCUGCAGAAGAAGAGGACACCGCUUCUCCUCUGGAAAAGACACAAAGCCCUUUGCCGGGUGACCUUGUGAAGCACAGUUCCUUUAUUUCAGAAGAAGAUUUUGGAAAGGAGAAAUUAUCCUCAUCAAAUGAAGUGAUGACUCACUCAAACAAUCAAGCCCUACAAAGGAGUUCCCUAACUGACCUGGAGACCUGCCAUGAGGCAUCUGAAUCUUUCAUUGAGCAUGAAGAGGACACUGCAGAUGAGAUGCCCUGGCCUGACUCUGAGGCAUGGCAGUCACCCUUGUCCACCCCUUUACCAGUAUCAGUGAGUGGGAUUGCAGGACAAAGUAUCUAUCACACUCUUGGAAAUCCUCCGGCAGUUCAACCUGUUGGUCUGGUGGGACAGGGAGCUGGUGCUGUGGAACAUGAGUAUGACAGCCAUGGCUGUGAGAAGUAUCCACACACCCCUUCGGAUGAGUUGACAGAUCGUGGGAAUGACACAAUGGGGGAGAAGAAAACUAUGUGUGAUUUUAAGAACCAAGCACUAUUCCCAGAUCAUGCAACAGAAAAUGAAAACUCUACAGGCAAAGAGACAAAUGCAUGUCAGAAACUUGAUAACUGUCUUUCACAUUCAACCACAAAGCCAGGACAACAUGAAAAUAAAACCACACUAGCAGGGAAUCCCCUGUUACCCUUGGAGAAGAGCCAAACACCAAUAUUAGAUGACACCAAAAAGCAAGGAUGUGAUAUGCUAGAAGAGAACCCAAUUCCUCCAUCAACUGAAUUGGUCUCACACCAAAAGAAAGAUCCAAGAAGUAGAAAUAAAAUAUCUGAACACACAAGGGGUAAGCUCUUCUCCUCAGAUGAUGGCAUGAAACAUGAAAGUGAUAGGAUGGAGACAGAGGAGAAAGAAGAGAAAAAUGUCUUGCAUAAAUUUGAGCAGGAACAAGUAUUCACUCCAAAUGAUACUGUUGACCAUGAUAAUGACUCUUCAAAGCAGAAUGAUGCUUAUAGUCCUCCAACAUCCCAGUUGCCUUCAUCAGAGGAUGAUAGCAACAUUCAAGGAGUGAAAAAUACGGGACAGAGUUUGGAGCAUCUAACAUCUCCAAGAGAUUUUGUGAAACACAAACAUGAUAUGACAGGAGAUGAAGACAUCUAUUGCAAUAAUAAGAAAAACAACCCGGACUCAUCAGAUGAGCCAAUUAAACAUACAAAUGACCAUGAAGGGCUCAAAAACAUCAAGUCAGACUUCAACAAUUAUUCAAUGCCAUCAAGAAAUACAGCAAGGCAGGACAAUAAGAUGGCUGAUGAGGACAGUACCACUCUAGACACUCAGAAACAGAUGUCACCAGGUGACCUUGUAAAGCCUGAAACUAAGCCAGACAAAAAAGAGACUAAACAUACCUCUGAGAAGUUCCAGUCACCUUCUUCAAACAAAGUGCCAAAUUCUCAAGACAGAAGCUCUUCAGGACAGAGGAAGCAAAAGACACCAGCAGAAGAAGGCACUGGAUCACCUGAAACAGAGGUAGUAAAAGAAGAUAUUGAGCAGCAAUUUUCUGGGAAGCACCAGCUACCUCCAUCAAGAAAAUCAGAAAUGCAUGAGGAAAAUAUUCCAGGAGACAAACAGCAAUUGGGAUUUGAAGAAUUUCUGACACCUGAUACAAAUACUGCAAAAGAGAAAGACAAACUUCUGAGUUCCAGGAAAUGUCUAUCAGUAGCACCAGAAACAUUGGUUAAGCCUCAAGAAAAAAAUACUCCAGAACAAAAGCAAAAAACAUCAGAGUCUUCAGAUUUUAAGAAGCCUGGUACUAAUUCUCUAAAAGAAAAGGGUGGAGAUCCAAAUUCUGAGAAGCUGCCUUCUUCAAAAGAAGUGCCAAAGCCUCAGGAAAAUAGUGUUUCAGGAGAGAGGAAGCAAAAGGCACCAGCAGGAGAGGACACCAGGUCACCUGAAGAAAAGGGUAUGAAAGAGAAAAAUAAGUACCAAGGUUCUAGGAACCAUCCAUUACCUGCUUCAAGUAAAUUACUGAAGCCUGAGAAAAAUAUUCCAGGAGGAGAAAAGCCACAAACUGUACCUGAAAGUUUUACAAAGCCUGAUACAAAUGCUGUAAAAGAUAAAAGCAAAGAUCCAGCUUCUGAGAUGUGGCAGUCUCCACACUCAAAUUUGCCCGUGAAGUCUCAAGAAAAUGAUGCCACAGCCGAAAAGGAGCAUUUGCCACCACCGCAUGACGAAAAACCCACAUAUAAAACUGGUAAUCCAGAAAAGAAGAGUGAACCUGAGAGAAGAGAGAAAUACCAGCUAGGCUCUUCAGCUCUGUCAGAGAGGGAGAGCAAUGAUGGCUCAGGAGAGGAGGGCCCUGUGAGUGAUUUCAGAAGCUGUCAAGCUCCAUUGCCAAGCAAUGGCAUAAACUGUAAAAGCGGUGCCAUCCCAAAAGAGACCUGUUUGUCUAAUACAGAGAAAUCCCCCAAAUCAUCCUCACCAUUAUAUGUUGCAUCAAAAGAUGAGGUAAAUCCUACUGGAAACAGAAAAAAGCAGCCUGGAUUUAAGAAGUACAAAGCACUCUCAAAGACUUCGGUGAGGCAUGAGAAAGAUGCUGCUGAAAGGGAGGGGAGUGGGCAGGCAGCUGGCAAAACAAGUGAGGAAAAAGCAGAGUUGGAGGACUGCUCUAAAGCAACGCCAUUCUCCAAAUACACAGUGGAAAGCUACGGUGAAGGAUCCUUAGAUUCAGCUUUCAAACCAUUGAUCAUUAGAGUAACUGACACAUUUAAACAUCACAGCUAAAAAUUAUGGCUACAGCUUAGGCAAGAACUUACAACAGAUCAUGCUACCGAUUCACUUGAUCUUUCUUUUUUCCUUUUUCUCCAGGGCAUUAUAUUAUCAUUUUUUAAUCACAAGGAGAUUGAUGUGCAUUUAUCAGAGCUAGGGUUUUUUUUU
This 2944-nucleotide long non-coding RNA is filed under the name Cyanoderma ruficeps (rufous-capped babbler). RNAcentral's name for it is "lncRNA (ENSCRFG00000015609.1)". Lineage: Eukaryota; Metazoa; Chordata; Aves; Passeriformes; Timaliidae. The record is from RNAcentral.